Molecule: ribosomal RNA, 396 nt
Filed under: uncultured bacterium
Lineage: Bacteria
Description: partial 16S ribosomal RNA
Rfam family: Bacterial small subunit ribosomal RNA
Source: RNAcentral
UUUGGGACAAUGGGCGCAACCCUUGAUCCACCCAUCCCGCGUGGGGGAACAAGGCCUCCGGGUCGUAACCCCGGUUUUGUCAGCCCCAGACCCGGUUUGGGGUAAUCCCCCGAACUAAUGCCGGCCCUGAAGAAUAAGCACGGGCUAAUUAGGUGCCAGCAGCCGCGGUAAUACGGAGGGCGCAAGGGUUAAUGGGAAUUACUGGGGUAAAGCGUGCCAGGGGGCUUCCAAGACAGAUGGAAACCCCGGGCUCACCCUGGGAACCGCAUUGUGACCGCAAGGUGGAGUCGGCAGGGGGGAGGAAUUCCGGGGUACCAGUAAAGGGUAGAUUGGGGGGAACACGGAGGGGGAAGGCAAUCCCCGGGGCCUCACUGACGCUCAGCAGAAGGGGGGGGG